GGUCUUAUCGACCCGGGAGACAGUGUCAGGUGGGCAGUUUGACUGGGGCGGUCGCCUCCUAAAGUGUAACGGAGGCGCCCAAAGGUUCCCUCAGAAUGGUUGGAAAUCAUUCGUAGAGUGCAAAGGCAUAAGGGAGCUUGACUGCGAGACCUACAAGUCGAGCAGGGACGAAAGUCGGGCUUAGUGAUCCGGUGGUUCCGCAUGGAAGGGCCAUCGCUCAACGGAUAAAAGCUACCCCGGGGAUAACAGGCUUAUCUCCCCCAAGAGUCCACAUCGACGGGGAGGUUUGGCACCUCGAUGUCGGCUCAUCGCAUCCUGGGGCUGUAGUCGGUCCCAAGGGUUGGGCUGUUCGCCCAUUAAAGC
This 363-nucleotide ribosomal RNA is filed under the name Klebsiella pneumoniae. RNAcentral's name for it is "partial 23S ribosomal RNA". It matches the Rfam family "Bacterial large subunit ribosomal RNA", at positions 2232 to 2594 of the family's 2925-position model. Lineage: Bacteria; Pseudomonadati; Pseudomonadota; Gammaproteobacteria; Enterobacterales; Enterobacteriaceae. The record is from RNAcentral.